This 8613-nucleotide long non-coding RNA is filed under the name Lactuca sativa (garden lettuce). Its description in RNAcentral is "long non-coding RNA (LSAT_LNC001000)". The record is from RNAcentral. Lineage: Eukaryota; Viridiplantae; Streptophyta; Magnoliopsida; Asterales; Asteraceae.
AUAAGCGUAGUUGAUCAAGCUAUAUUCGUCCCAAAUUUGAUUACAUAUCUUGAGAACUAAUCGUAGUGUCCAACUUGUCUUAAUACUUUUGUAUAGUUCUCAUCAUGAAAAUAUGUCGUUGUAUGCAUGUAUUUUGGAUUUUCAUGACCUAAAAUAAUCUAUUUAAAUAAAAUAAGGAUUUUAGGUAUGAAAACUUUCGUCAGAGACUUUGAGUCCCUAAGCAUUUAUAGUUUGUAUAUCUUAUGAGGAUCGAUAUACUUAUUUCACUAUAAACAUUGCUCUGAUACCAAUCUGUCACACCCCCAAACCGGAACGGCGGAAACGUUCGGGGGCGGAUGACUUCAUGUGGUAACGUAACAAAUGAAUACAUAGUAAAGAAAGCAAUACAACCAUCAUACAUAUAAUUGAAAGUUUACAUUGUUUAAAAGAGUACAUGUUCAAAACCAAUUACAAUAUGAUGUCAAAAUAUGAAAUUAAACUAGUGCCGCAGCGUUUCUUCUUCAAAAGCUGUUUAGUACUUGUAAUUACUGAGUCCCUGGGACAUACAAGUAGUUUCGAAAGAAUAUAUCAGCAUUUAAGCUGGUGAGUUUCAUAAGCAUUUAAUGAUAGUAUUUGUAUGAAACUGAAAUGGUUCGUUUUUGUUAGUAAGUCUCUAGAAAAUCCCAUCUUUCCUACUGGUAUAAAUGUAGCCUUAAAUCAAGACCAAUAUAUGUUAAAAAGUUGAUGUUUUUCCAUCUAUGAGUAGUGGUUAGAAGUUCCAAACUUAUAUCACAAUUGGGUUUUUCAUGCAUAAAAUAAAUGAACUUAUGUAAGUAUAAAACCUCCAUUAUAUUUGAAAACCCCCGUAAAUCAAUGUGUUUUUAAUACUUUAUGUGAGUUUUAUAACCAUGCUAUUGACAAGGAAUGCCUAUACACAAUGUUCUUCAGGCGUUGGAAUGUUCUGACGUUUGUCACUCCAAAUGGUGUACUGUAGCUAACAGUCAGGGCGUGGGGUUGUCAAGCCCGUGUAGAUCUAUACACAAACACCAUGCUCCCCCUCCAAGGGAUUCUGGUAUAUAAUACAGGACUUGAAAUGUGUACUCGUGCGUACGUGAAGUUCAAUGUCUCACAAAACUUAGUAUAGAACAGAUUUACGUGUGAAAAUGUUCAUUUGUUAUUGUAUAUGAAAGUAGCUUCUUGAAAUAGUAUUUCCAUGUAUGUAAAAGUUCGUAGUAUUCUCGUAAAACUAUACCUAUUAUAGUUUCCUAAAAGUGUGUUCUGUUUGUAUAAUAAACCCUUAAUGAAAAUGCUCACAUGUUAUGAAAAAUAUAGUUUUUGUAGUGCCAAAACCGACACACAUAAAUAUAGUAUAAGCAGAGUGCCUGAUUUAUAUAAAUACCUAAAUCAUUUCUCAUUUCAAAAGAUAAAAUGUUGUCGUGGUAUAAUUUGCAUAUGAAAGUUUCCUUAUAAUAGUUAUAAAUCACAUAUGAUUCCGUUGAUAAAACGCGUAUAGUGAAAGUUUAUAUAACACACAAUUAUAAUUGAGUGUUUUACUUGUAUUCCCCCCUUUAAAAGCAUAUAAAAGUACUCAUAAAACAUUUAAAAGUGUGAAUUAUAGGGGUAUGAACUCACUUGAAAGAUUGGAGGAGGCGGGAUGAAAACCGGACAUAAUUUCGACUCGAGAAAGCGGAUUUUCUCAGGAUUCUCGGGAAUCACGGGAGCACAAACAACCUACGGGACUUGAGCAAAGUGAUCGAGGCUUUGGGGUAGCACGGUCACGGAAAACGAGGCAAGAACGCAAGAGAAAUGAGAGAAAUGGUGCCCUUUCUUCGAAACCCUGGCAUCCCUUUUAUAGGGGCUGGGAACCGCCUCGGUACGCUGGGCGUACGUGUGCAUCACGCAUGACCGAAUCUACGACUGCCUCGGAGCUCGGAUGGGAUGGGGCAUAUCCUCGCAUAGGGCGCUACCUGGUCGAUCCGAGGCCAAGGCCUCAAGUACGCUGGGCGUAACCGUGUACGUUGGGCGUACUUGCGUGACUCAGCCUUCGUAUAAUACCGAAGAUUUCAAUAAAAAAAUAUUUAUAUGUAUUAUUUAAUAAACUUCAAAAAUUCAUAUCUUCUUCAUACGAACUCCGUUUUCGACGUUCUUUAUAUCCACGCGUAGGUGAGACCAUACUCUACAACUUUCGUUUAGAUCCCGUCGGCAAAUUUUGAAAUUAUUUUUAUUAUUUAUUUUUAAAAGGUCGUGGUAAGAAAAUUUCUUUAGAAAUUGAUAACUUCUUUAUAUGACGUCAGUUUGUGCCAGACUUUUUACCGCUGAAAUACCAUUGUCGAGACCUUCGAUUCUCGUUUUGGUCAUUCCGGCCAAAAGUCGCUCGAACUCCGAUUUGAGUUUUUAGCCGUCUGUCGUUAAGCCGAACAUGGAAAAUUUCUAACUUUCUUAUAUGAAGUCGGAUUUGGGCGUUCUUUUUAUAUACGAUCACGGUUUAAUGACAUCUACCAUAAUAGGUAAUUUAAUUAGUGAUUUUUGGAUAUUUUAUUUUCGAAGUUAAUUUUAUUAUAACGAACGUGCUUACAAUACUUGACUUUUUAGGUCGUUUACAUAUAGUUAAAAUAUCGGGUUGUCAAAUCAUCCCCCUGUUAGAGGGAAUUUCGUCCCGAAAUUUAAAGUAAGAAACAUACAAGUGAAUCAGAGAGAAAGAUGCGGGUACUUUUGUUUCAUCUGAUCUUCGCGUUCCCAUGUCAAUUCAGGUCCUCGCUUCGCGAUCCAACGGACUUUCACGAUGGGUAUGCGACUUUGUUUCAUUUGUUUGACCUCUCGGUCCAUGAUUUCUACUGGUUCUUCCACGAAGUUGAGGCUCUCGUCGAUCUCGAUCUCGUCGUGUGGGAUAACAAGAGUCUAAUCGGACAUACAAUUUUUCAAAUUCGAUACGUGGAAGGUUGGGUGUAUGUUACUAAGUUCCCGUGGUAGAUUAAAUUUGUAAGCUACAUGGCCGAUUAUGGCGAGCAUCUGUAAAGGCCCUAUGUACCUUGGAUUUAGCUUUCCAUGCUUUCCAAAGCGUAUCGUGCCCUUCCAGGGUGAGACUUUCAAAAGGACUCGGNAAAGGUUUUCUCCGUUGGUCAGCGUAGCUUUUCUGUCGCUCUCUAGAUGCUUUCAACCGUUCACGAAUCUGAACGAUCUUCUUUGUCGUUUCUCGUAUGAUUUACGGACCAGUGAGAGUGUUUUCACUAUCUCGUCCUUUAGCUAGUUGUGUGUCGCCCACUUCGGUCCAGCACAGAGGGGAUCUGCACUUGCGGCCAUAGAGGGCUUCAAAUGGAGCAGCCUUUAUACUCGUAUGAUAACUAUUGUUGUAUGAAAAUUCGACGAGAGGUAAAUGGAUAUCCCAUGACUUUCCAAAGUCAAUCACACAGGCUCUCAGCAUAUCUUCCAAAGUUCAUAUCGUUCUCUCACUUUGCUCGUAUGUUUGUGGAUGGUAGGUUGUACUCAUGUCUAGUCUAGUCCCUACGGAACUUUGUAGUGACUGCCAUAACCUUGAUGUAAAUCUACUAUCUCUAUCAGAGAUAAUGGACAUCGGAACCCCAUGCAAUCGUACUAUUUCCCUUAUGUAAGUUCUUGUAAGCCUUUCCAUCUUGUCAGUCUCCUUGAUCGGUAGAAAAUGCGUGGAUUUGGUCAAUCGGUCGACGAUGAACCAUAUGGUAUCAAGUCCACCCGUUGUCUUGGGCAACUUGGUUAUGAAAUCCAUAGUAAAUCGUUCCCAUUUCCAUUCCGGUAUCUUUGGUUGUUGUAGUAAUCCUGAAGGUUUCUGGUAGUCGACCUUAACCUUAGCGCAAGUAAGACAUUUACUUACAAAGGUAGCAAUCUCUGCUUUCAUGUUAGGCCACCAGUACAGUUUCUUAAGAUCCAAAUACAUUUUAUCUGAACCUGGGUGAACGGAAUAACUUGUGUUGUACGCUUCAGUCAUGACCACAUCCCUGAAACCACCAUGUCUUGGUGUGCAGAUACGGUCCAUGAGAUAAUAGGCUCCGCCACCUUUGAUUUCUAGAUUCUUUUCCAUUCCUCUCAGGGAUUCACCCGUCACAUGCUCGGGUUGUAAAGCUUCCAGUUGAGCCUCCUUAAUUUGUGUGGAUAAGUGGUAAUGGAUGGUCAUAUUCAGAGAUUUGACUCUCCGACCAGUGUAUUCUUUUCGACUGAGGGCGUCAGCUACUACAUUGCCUUGCCAGGAUGAUAACGAAUCUCACAUUCAUAAUCAUUGAGUAACUCGACCCAUCGUCGUUGUCGCAUGUUGAGCUCCUUCUGAUAGAAAAUGUGUUGAAGGAUCUUGUGGUCGAUGUAAAUAGUACUCUUCGUUCCGUACAGGUAGUGUCUCUAGAUCUUUAAAGCAAAUACCACUGCUCCUAACUCAAGAUCGUGUGUUGUAUAGUUUACUUCGUGUGUCUUAAGCUGACAGGAGGCAUAAGCAAUAACCUUCCCUCGUUGCAUAAGAACACAACCAAGCCCUUGAUUCGAUGCAUCGCAAUACACUACAAAAUCUUUUAUCUCUUCGGGGAGGGAUAGUAUUGGUGCGGUGCAUAAGGCUUGUUUCAGUGUUUGGAACGCCUUCUCUUGUUUUGCUUUCCAGUCAAAGACCACGCCUUUUUGGGUUAAUGUAGUAAGAGGUUUCGCGAUGCUAGGGAAGUUCUUUAUGAAUCUACGAUAAUAGCCAGCUAGACCUAGAAAUUGACGAAUCUCUGUAGGUGUCUUUGGUGCCGACCAGUUCUUAAUGGCCUUAAUUUUGGAGGGGUCCACAUGUAUCCCUUUUUCACUAACAAUGUGGCCCAAAAAUUCGACUCUUCGAAUCCAAAAUUCACAUUUAGAGAACUUCGCAUAGAGCUUCUCUGAUCGUAGUGUUUCUAAGACUCUUUGUAGGUGCUGACUAUGUUCUUCCUUACUUCGGGAGUAGAUAAGUAUAUCAUCGAUGAAUACAAUGAAGAACUCGUCCAUGUAAGGAUGGCACACUCUAUUCAUUAGGUCCAUGAAUACUACUGGUGCGUUGGUUAAUCCGAACGGCAUCACUACAAGUUCGUAGUGUCCAUAACGGGUUCAGAAGGCUGUCUUGGGAACAUCUUCCCCCAGCACUCGUAAUUGGUGAUAUUCAAAUCGUAGAUCUAUCUUCGAGAAGUAGCUCGCUCCUUGAAGUUGAUCAAAUAGGUCGUCAAUGCGGGGUAGAGGGUAACGAUUUUUUACAGUGAGUUUGUUUAGCUCUCGGUAGUCGAUGCACAUCCGGAACGAUCCAUCUUUCUUCUUCACAAACAAGAUCGGUGCUCCCCAAGGUGAGAAACUUGGUCUAAUGAAUCCUUUUUGGUGAAGUUCGUUAAGCUGACUAGAAAGUUCUUGCAUCUCUGCUGGUGCCAGACGAUAAGGCGAUUUUGCUACAGGGGUAGCCCCUGGAAUUAAAUCGAUUCUGAACUUGACUUGGCGUUGUGGUGGUAAUCCCGGUAGUUCUUCUGUUAAGAUAUCGGGAAAUUCAUGUACCUCUGGAAUGCUGUUAAUAUCCUUUACUUCCCGACUCAUAUCGAUGAUGUGUUCAAGAAAUGCCUGAUAAUCCUUCCGCAAACACUUUCGAGCUUGGAUGCACGAAAUGAUGUGAAGGUUUGUACUUGAUUUGUCGCCAUAAAUCCCUAAUGUUUCAAUGUUAGGGAGAUUUACACGAACGGCUUUUUCAAAGCACAUGAUGUCGGCGCGAAGAGGACUUAACCAAUCCACGCCAACUAUAACGUCGAAACUUUUUAUUUGGACUCGCAUGACGUUGAUUGGGAAAGAGUGACCGUCUAAAGUUAAUGUACAACCCAUGUAUAUGCAAUUAGUGUUUUCCGUUUUUCCAUUUGCCAUUUCUAUAGUGAAUGAUUCUUCUAACAUGCUAGGUUUACAUUUAAUUAAGUGAAUAAAGUUUUGGCUCACAAAGCUUCUCUCUGCUCCGCUAUCGAAUAGGAUGCAUGCAUAUGAAUUAUCGAGAAGAAACGUACCAACAACUACUGUAGGAUCAGCUACGGCUUCCUCGUGACCAAUAGCUAAUACUCGUCCCACUCCACCGGUAUUUGCUGCCUUUGGGCAUUUUCUUUUGUGGUGGCCCACCUCGCCACAACCGUAGCAUGCCUGGCCUACACCAGCAUUGCGAACUUGAGUGAUCGGCUUUAUGGGGGCCUUGAAGAAACGGACUGUGUGUCCCUUUCUGUUGCAGUUGGAGCACUGCAUUUCCCGACAAGGUCCGUGGUGGUGAUAAUUGCACUUGGUACACUUUGGGAGGUUGCCCACAUAAGGCUUUGUUGGGUAGAGAUUUGUAGGAACAGUAAUAGGUACCGUCGCAGCGUUUACGGCAACUAGUUGUUGUUUCUUCGAGGAUUCUUGGGAAGACCCACCCUUCCCCUUAUUCCACCCUCUCUUCUUGUUGUCGUUGUUAUUGUUGUUUCCCUUUUGUGGUUCUGGUGCAGAAGUUGUUGAGUUUUGAUGAUUUCCGUGAUCAAUAAGCGAUUGUGCCAGCUCCUUGGCACUUUUAAAUGUGUCAGGUUUUGAAGCUAACACGCUUGACUGAAUUUGGGGCGACAGUCCGCAAAUGUAUCUCUCUAUUUUCUUGCUCUCGGGAGCAAUCAUAUCUGGGCAAAGGAUUUCCAGAUCGCAGAAUCUGUUGGUAUAAGUUGCUAUGUCGGUACCAAUCAUCCCCAGAGUCCAGAGUUCGUGCUCGAGUUUUUGAAUAUCUCCUCGUGGACAGUACUCCCUUAUCAGCAUGAUUUUCAAGCUCUCCCAGCUUAUUGAGUUUGCCACUGUCAGGGUAAGUACCUUAACGUGGCCAUUCCACCAAGUUAAAGUCGUAUCAAUAAGUGUGUAGGUUGCAAACUUGACUUUGUUGUGCUCGGGGCAGGAGCAGAUUUCAAAUACUGAUUAUGUCCUUUCAAUCCACUGCCUUAAUAUCAUCACACCACCCGUUCCAUUAAACAUCCGGGGCUUAGCAUUCGUAAGUCUUUAUAGGUGCACUCCCGGGGUUGCCCAUGACUAUCGCCAUGGUUGGAGGGAUGUAUGUUAAUUCUUGACCCAGUAGUAACAAGGGUAUUGAUCUGUGACAUGACAGCUGCUACAGCUGCGGUAACUGCUGCCUGGAACAUGACAGCAUCAAAUUGAGGAGGUGGAGGUGGUGGUAUCGGUGCUUCCGCACCGUUGUUUCGUCUCGGAUUUCUACGCGCAGGCAUCCUUCAACUAAAGAUUGAAAAGACAAGGGUAAGAAGUCCAUAGUAUAGAAAAUGUAUGUCUCAUGAACUAAAUUGCUAUAGUUCAACAACAGAUGAUAGUAUGAGUCUCAAAGAUAGAAGAGCGAAGGUUAUUCGUAAAUCCGAAUAUGUGAACAAGCAUAUGGUUUUUCCAUAAUAUUUUAAAGAUUGAACGAGAUACUCAACGUAGUAGUAAUAGCGUGCGAAUUAUAUUAAUAUAAUAGAUGAUACAACGAUCAUGAAAAUUUGACCCUUAAAAGGGUCUCCGAUGACAAGAAUUUUAAGGAAGUAAAAACUCUUAGCCAAGGUCCUAUCUUAUAACAAAAUUUUGAGGUUUUCGCAAGUAUUACUUGCGACGUGUGUUGCGCUUGGAGCUUGACUUCGCAUCCGAUUGCUUUGACUCCAUAAGACGCCUAUCGAAGGCGGCUUGUUGUUCCCUCAACUUUGCGAGGGCUGCAUUCAUUUGAGUUUGGAAUGCAUCGGCGCAGAGGUGGGUGUCAUUCUGCAACAUAUCCAGACGACGGAUAUCGGCCGUGUGGACUUGUACUUCCACGUUGACUUCGCGGAUUUGAUUUUCUUGGACCCCCGAUUGGUAUGACCGGUUGGCUAGUUUACCUACCAUGACUGAAAGUGCUCGGUAGGUUGAACCUCCGUCCCUGAUGUUGUAGAACUCUCGAAACAUACCGUAGGGAGAGCGUAUCCCUUGUUGUUGGCUCCAGUGGACGAGGUGACUUCCCCAAACGGGAGUCGACCCUUGGAACUUCCUCCUAAUGGCUGGAGGGUUGACAACUUCUGGUUCCGAGUCUGUACCAGAGUCGUCCCCUUCAUCCAACUUGAUAGGUUCUUCAUCCUCUCCCGGAUCCUCCUCUACCCAUCCUUCGUUGCCUUGGUUCGGGUAGUGGGGGUCCCCUUGCAGGUGAAAUCCAGCCAUUUGACUAUACGAGAAUAGGGUUAUAAGACUUGAACAAAAUUUGAGAACAUGUAAUACUAAUUAAUCUAUUGUAUGCACCAAAUACUCCUAUAGUAUUUAAAUUGUACGCUUGAUACUAGUGUCCAUUUUUGGUAAGUUUUGACUUGUUGCUCACUACGAUCAUUCCUCGAUAUACAUUAGUCUAAUUUCGGAUAAGCAUAGUUGAUCAAGCUAUGUUCGUCGCAAAUUUGAUUACAUAUCUCGAGAACUAAUCGUAGUGUCCAACUUGACUUAAUAAUUUUGUAUAGUUCUCAUCAUGAAAAUAUGUCGUUGUAUGCAUGUAUUUUGGAUUUUCAUGACCUAAAAUAAUCUAUUUAAAUGAAAUAAGGAUUUUAGGUAUGAAAACUUUUGUCAGAGACUUUGAGUCCCUAAGCAUUUAUAGUUUGUAUAUCUUGUGAGGAACGAUAUACUUAGUUCACUAUAAAC